This 3656-nucleotide long non-coding RNA is filed under the name Homo sapiens (human). Its description in RNAcentral is "HSALNT0156417". Lineage: Eukaryota; Metazoa; Chordata; Mammalia; Primates; Hominidae. The record is from RNAcentral.
CCCAAGAUCCGGGAUGGGGAUGAGAGAUGCGAACGCCGGAAGGGAACUGGGGGGCCGCUGUGUGUGUAGCACCUGGUAGGGCAGCUGAGCUGGGGGCACUGGGCGGUGGGGCUAGUGAGAGCCGGGCUAGGUCGCUCGCCUGCGUCCUGGACUCUCGAGCCUUUCCCGCCUUGGGCUGCUCCUUGCUCAGCCUCACAGCGGCUCAUCUUCCACGUACAGUGGGGAAACUGAGGCCCAGGCACCGGGAGGAGUUCCUGCCAGUUCACUCUGUAGCAGGACGAGCCGCAGACAAGAACCCCUCAGACACCGAAUUGUAGAAGGAAAGGGCUUUAUUUAGUGGGGAGCAUCGGCAGACUCACGUCUCCAAAAACCGAGCUCUCUGAGUGAGCAAUUCCUGUCCCUUUUAAGGGCUUACAACCCUAAGGGGGUCUGUGUGAGAGGGUCGUGAUCGAUUGAGCAAGCAGGGGGUACGUGACUGGGGGCUGCAUGCACCGGUAAUCAGAACGCAACAGAACAGGACAGGGAUUUUCACAAUGCUUUUCCAUACAAUGUCUGAAAUCUAUAGAUAACAUAACCGGUUAGGUCAAGGAUUGAUCUUUAACCAGGCCCAGGGCGCGGCGCCGGGCUGUCUGCCUGUGGAUUUUAUUUCUGCCUUUUAGUUUUUACUUCUUUAUUUGGAAGCAGAAAUUGGGCAUAAGACAAUAUGAGGGGUGGUCUCCUCCCUUACUUCUGCCGCCUGGGUUCAAGCGAUUCUCCUGCCUCAGCCUCCUGAGUAGCUGGGACUAUAGGUGCACGCCACCACUCUCUGCCAAUUUUUGUAUUUUUAGUAGACCUGGGGUUUCGCCACGUUGGCCAGGCUGUCUUGAACUCCUGACCUCCAGUGAUCCAUCCGCCUCGGCCUCCCAAAGCGCUGGGAUUACAGGUGUGAGCCACCGUGCCCGGCCGGGAGUGGGUAGAUUUGAUGUGCGUGUGUAACAGGCAGAGGUUGAUGGAGUAACAGGGAAGUGAGGCUCCUAGGAUUUUGGUCUGAGCAAUUGGGUGUGGCCAUUUAUCAUCUCAAUAAAUGUCUGCGGGGAGCAGGGUGAAGUAUGGGGGUGGAGCCAUGAGCUCCUUUUCACACUUGCUGAGUUUGAACGGGCCGUCAGUCACCAAGGAGAGACGUCUAAUCAGCAGCAGGAUAUAAGAUUCCUAAGCUUAGGGAAGGGUCAGUGCUGGAGAUGUAAUUUGGAAAUCGUCAGCACAUAAUUAGUGUUGAAACAUGAACCUGGGUUAGUUCAUCCAAAGAGAGAGUACCAAUAUAGGGAGUGAAGGGUUAAGACCAGAUAGCAGGUGCUGGGGGCUCUCCAGGGGCGAAGCAGCAGAGGAGGCUGAGGGGGAGCAGUCAGUGCAGUGGGAGGAGAAGCGGAUGUGAGUGGCAUCAGAGAAUCCAGGGGGAGAAUAAACCACAUCAGAUGCUGCUGAGAGGCUGAGAAGGACGAGGACAGAGAGAUGGGAACCAGAUAUGGCACUGAGAUUGUCAGCAAGUCCACCGAAAAGGGUUUUCUUUUUUUUUGUUUGUUUUGAGACGGAGUCUUGCUCUGCUGCCCAGGCUGGAGUGCAGUGGCGUGAUAUCGGCUCACCACAAUCUCCACCUCCCGGGUUCAAGCGAUUCUCCUGCCUCAGCCUCCUGGGUAGCUGGAACUACAGGUGCACGCCACCAUGCCCAGCUAAUUUUUUUUUUUUUUUUGAGACGAAGUUAUGCUCUUGUCGCCCAGGCUGGAGUGCAAUGGCGCAAUCUCGGCUCACCGCAACCUCCACCUCCCGGGUUCAAGUGAUUCUUCUGCCUCAGCCUCCCGAGUAGCUGGGAUUACAGGCAUGUGCCACCACGCCCGGCUAAUUUUGUACUUUUAGUAGAGAUGGGGUUUCUCCAUGUUGGCCAGGCUGGUAUGGAUCUCCAGACAUCAGGUGAUCCUCUCGCCUCAGCCUCCCAAAGUGUUGGGAUUACAGGCGUGAGCCACCGCACCUAGCCUAAUUUUUGUAUUUUUGAAAAGAGACGGGGUUUCACUAUGCUGGCCAGGCUGAUCUCGAACUCCUGACCUCAUGAUCCGCGUGCCUCGUGAUCCACCUGCCUCGGCCUCCCAAAGUGCUGGGAUUAAAGGCGUGAGCCACCACACCUGGCCCAGGUUUUCUUUUUAAAAAAGGAAAAAAACUUUGUUCCAGCAGUUUGUAAACCAGGGCAAUGCAGCCUUCUGUACAAAGGUGCAUUCCAGGGAACAAAGAGAACAAAGAAAGAGGUCGUCUUUUGUAGAGAACUUCCUGCCCAGGUUCCCACUUUGGUCCACUUAUGCAAAUGAGGAAGGCACACUUGCUUAGUUCUGAUUGGUUAAUACUUGCUGAGUUCAGAUUGGUCGAUGCAGGUCACAGUCGAUGGGUUGAUUCUGGCGGCAUAAACAGGAACAGAUAGCUGUGAAACCAUCCCAGAGUUAAGUGAGAGUGGGGGCUUUCCAGGAACGCAGAAUGUGUGUGUGACCCUAGUCAGCAAAUGGCUGCUAGGUCCUACUUUGAAUUUAGGCCCAGUUAGUAACUUGGGAUCCAUCAAGAAGGAUUGGCUCUUUCAGGGUUCACAAAGUUAUUGGUGACCUUUUAAAGAUCAAUUUCAAUGGUAUGUGGGAAUUGAAGGCAAGGAAGUGGAGAUAGCCACUGAAAAUAAUGUUUCUAAGUUCUUAAAGACAGCCAGAAACAGGGCUAUGGCAGGAGGACAGUGUGGGUCAAGGGAAGGUUGUUGAUUGUAAUCAAGAGACACCAGAGUGUCUGGGCUUGGUGGCUCAUGCCUGUAAUCCCAGCACUUUGGGAGGCCGAGGCAGUCAGCUCACCUGAGGUCAGGAGUUUGAGACCAGCUUGGCCAACAUGGCGAAACCCCACCUCUACUAAAAAUACAAAAACUAGCCAGGCGUGAUGGCGGGUGCCUGUAAUCCCAGCCACAAGGGAGGCUGAGGCAGGAGAAUCACUUGAACCUGGGUGGCGGAGGUUGCAGUGAGCCGAGAUCGUGCCACUGCACUCCAGCCUGGGUGACACAGCAAGACUCUGUCUCAAAAAACAAACAAAAACCAAAAAGAGACAGGAGAGUCAUUCAUGCUGAUGGAGUGAGCCAGGUACCAGGAUCUCGAUAUCUAAGCAUGCCCCCUUCUCCAACAGCCUCCUUACCUUCCUGCAUGAAAGCACACCCUUCCCUCCAGUCCCCCAUUCCUUUAUUCUGCUGUAUUUUUCUCCAUAACACUUACCACCUUUGAACAUACUACAUAUACAACAUGUGUCUGUCUAGCAACUUUGCUGUCUGGCUCUCUUCCCUAGAAUUUAAGCUGUGAGAGGCCGAGGCUGCUGUCUGCCUGGCUUGGGGCUGCUUUCCUGGUGUCUAGCACAGAGCCUGGCCUGUUUCAGGGGCUCAGUGAAACAUUUGUUGGCUGAAGGAAUGAAUGAAUGGCUCUAGCAGAGGGGCAGAAACUAACGAUGCAGGAGGAGAGAGCUGGGAAGGGAUCCAGAGCCAGGGCCUGGCAGGAAGUGUAGGUGUGUCCUCCCUGAUCGCAGAGGAGGAGAGAGGCUGCACUUUGAGGGGUGGAAAGACAAGGUGAAUCCCCCUGCUGGUCAUCAGCUUGUGCGGCUCUGUGGGUGUAAAAGAG